This 81-nucleotide transfer RNA is filed under the name Ardenticatenales bacterium. Its description in RNAcentral is "tRNA-Leu". It matches the Rfam family "tRNA". Rfam says of the family: Transfer RNA (tRNA) molecules are approximately 80 nucleotides in length. Their secondary structure includes four short double-helical elements and three loops (D, anti-codon, and T loops). The record is from RNAcentral. Lineage: Bacteria; Bacillati; Chloroflexota; Ardenticatenia; Ardenticatenales.
GCACCAGUGGUGGAAUGGUAGACACGCAUGCCUUAGGAGCAUGUGCCGCAAGGCAUGGGGGUUCGAGUCCCUCCUGGUGCA